AGUGAACGCUGGCGGUAGGCCUAACACAUGCAAGUCGAACGGCAGCACAGUAAGAGCUUGCUCUUACGGGUGGCGAGUGGCGGACGGGUGAGGAAUACAUCGGAAUCUACUUUUUCGUGGGGGAUAACGUAGGGAAACUUACGCUAAUACCGCAUAUGCCCUACGGGUGAAAGCAGGGGAUCUUCGGACCUUUCGCGAUUGUAUGAGCCGAUGUCGGAUUAGCUAGUUGGCGGGGUAAAGGCCCACCAAGGCGACGAUCCGUAGCUGGUCUGAGAGGAUGGUCAGCCACACUGGAACUGAGAAACGGUCCAGACUCCUACGGGAGGCAGCAGUGGGGAAUAUUGGAGGAAGGGGGAAAGCCUGAUACAGCCAUACCGCGUGAGGGAAGAAGGCCUUCGGGUUGUAAAGCCCUUUUGGUGGGAAAGAAAAGCAGCAGGUUAAUACCCCGCUGUUCUGACGGUACCCAAAGAAUAAGCACCGGCUAACUUCGUG
RNAcentral lists this ribosomal RNA (492 nucleotides) under uncultured bacterium. RNAcentral describes it as "partial 16S ribosomal RNA". It matches the Rfam family "Bacterial small subunit ribosomal RNA", at positions 29 to 507 of the family's 1533-position model. The record is from RNAcentral.